AUUGAACGCUGGCGGAAUGCUUUACACAUGCAAGUCGAACGGCAGCACGGACUUCGGUCUGGUGGCGAGUGGCGAACGGGUGAGUAACAUAUCGGAACGUAUCCAAUAAUGGGGGAUAACUAAUCGAAAGGUUGGCUAAUACCGCAUACGCCCUACGGGGGAAAGCAGGGGAUCUUCGGACCUUGCGUUAAUGGAGCGGCUGAUAUCUGAUGAGCUAGGUGGUGAGGUAAAGGCUCACCAAGGCGACGAUCAGUAGCUGGUCUGAGAGGACGACCAGACACCCUGGACCUGCGACACGGUCCAGACUCCUACGGGAGGCAGCAGUGGGGAAUUUUGGACAAUGGGCGCAAGCCUGCUCCAGCCAUUCCGCGUGAGUGAAGAAGGCCUUCGUGUUGUAAAGCUCUUUCGCAAGGGAAGAAAACUUACUUUCUAAUAAAGAGUGAGGUUGACGGUACCUUGAUAAGAAGCACCGGCUAACUACGUGCCAGCAGCCGCCGCGG
RNAcentral lists this ribosomal RNA (500 nucleotides) under uncultured bacterium. RNAcentral's name for it is "partial 16S ribosomal RNA". It matches the Rfam family "Bacterial small subunit ribosomal RNA", at positions 30 to 523 of the family's 1533-position model. The record is from RNAcentral.